GUUCUUGUGGUGUAGUGGUUAUCACAUCUGCUUUACACGCAGAAGGUCUCCGGUUCGAACCCGGGCGGGAACU
Molecule: transfer RNA, 73 nt
Filed under: Tigriopus californicus
Lineage: Eukaryota; Metazoa; Arthropoda; Copepoda; Harpacticoida; Harpacticidae
Description: tRNA-Val for anticodon UAC
Rfam family: tRNA
About the family: Transfer RNA (tRNA) molecules are approximately 80 nucleotides in length.
Source: Rfam by way of RNAcentral